UCCUCGAUAGUAUAGUGGUGAGUAUCCCCGCCUGUCACGCGAGAGACCGGGGUUCGAUUCCCCGUCGGGGAG
Molecule: transfer RNA, 72 nt
Filed under: Dreissena polymorpha
Lineage: Eukaryota; Metazoa; Mollusca; Bivalvia; Myida; Dreissenidae
Description: transfer RNA aspartic acid (anticodon GUC)
Rfam family: tRNA
About the family: Transfer RNA (tRNA) molecules are approximately 80 nucleotides in length. Their secondary structure includes four short double-helical elements and three loops (D, anti-codon, and T loops). Further hydrogen bonds mediate the characteristic L-shaped molecular structure. tRNAs have two regions of fundamental functional importance: the anti-codon, which is responsible for specific mRNA codon recognition, and the 3' end, to which the tRNAs corresponding amino acid is attached (by aminoacyl-tRNA synthetases). tRNAs cope with the degeneracy of the genetic code in two manners: having more than one tRNA (with a specific anti-codon) for a particular amino acid; and 'wobble' base-pairing, i.e. permitting non-standard base-pairing at the 3rd anti-codon position.
Source: Rfam by way of RNAcentral